RNAcentral lists this unclassified non-coding RNA (352 nucleotides) under soil metagenome. RNAcentral describes it as "partial contains 5.8S ribosomal RNA, internal transcribed spacer 2, and large subunit ribosomal RNA". The stretch from base 1 to 120 matches the Rfam family "5.8S ribosomal RNA", at positions 35 to 154 of the family's 154-position model. The record is from RNAcentral.
GAUGAAGAACGCAGCGAAAUGCGAUAAGUAAUGUGAAUUGCAGAAUUCAGUGAAUCAUCGAAUCUUUGAACGCACAUUGCGCCCGCCAGUAUUCUGGCGGGCAUGCCUGUUCGAGCGUCAUUACAACCCUCAGGCCCCCGGGCCUGGCGUUGGGGAUCGGCGGAGCCCCCCGUGGGCACACGCCGUCCCCCAAAUGCAGUGGCGGUCCCGCCGCAGCUUCCAUCGCGUAGUAGCUAACACCUCGCGACUGGAGAGCGGCGCGGCCACGCCGUAAAACACCCAACUCUUCUGAAGUUGACCUCGAAUCAGCUAGGAAUACCCGCUGAACUUAAGCAUAUCAAUAAGCGGAGGA